UGUAUCUCAGUGGUUAGAGCAUGGCACUAGCAAUGCCAAGGUCAUGGAAUCGAUCCC
Molecule: transfer RNA, 57 nt
Filed under: Megalobrama amblycephala (Wuchang bream)
Lineage: Eukaryota; Metazoa; Chordata; Actinopteri; Cypriniformes; Xenocyprididae
Description: tRNA-Ala
Source: RNAcentral